Molecule: ribosomal RNA, 554 nt
Filed under: uncultured bacterium
Lineage: Bacteria
Description: partial 16S ribosomal RNA
Rfam family: Bacterial small subunit ribosomal RNA
Source: RNAcentral
UGGGGAAUUUUGGACAAUGGGGGAAACCCUGAUCCAGCCAUCCCGCGUGUGCGAUGAAGGCCUUCGGGUUGUAAAGCACUUUUGGCAGGAAAGAAACGUCGCGGGUUAAUACCCCGCGAAACUGACGGUACCUGCAGAAUAAGCACCGGCUAACUACGUGCCAGCAGCCGCGGUAAUACGUAGGGUGCAAGCGUUAAUCGGAAUUACUGGGCGUAAAGCGUGCGCAGGCGGUUCGGAAAGAAAGAUGUGAAAUCCCAGAGCUUAACUUUGGAACUGCAUUUUUAACUACCGGGCUAGAGUGUGUCAGAGGGAGGUGGAAUUCCGCGUGUAGCAGUGAAAUGCGUAGAUAUGCGGAGGAACACCGAUGGCGAAGGCAGCCUCCUGGGAUAACACUGACGCUCAUGCACGAAAGCGUGGGGAGCAAACAGGAUUAGAUACCCUGGUAGUCCACGCCCUAAACGAUGUCAACUAGCUGUUGGGGCCUUCGGGCCUUGGUAGCGCAGCUAACGCGUGAAGUUGACCGCCUGGGGAGUACGGUCGCAAGAUUAAAACUC